GUACUUCCUUCGGCAGUACAUACACAAAAAUUGGAACGAUACAGAGAUUAGCAUGGUCUCUGCGCAAGGAUGGCACGCAAAUUUGUGAAGCAUUCCUUAUUUUU
This is a non-coding RNA of Octopus bimaculoides (California two-spot octopus), 104 nucleotides long. The record is from Rfam. Lineage: Eukaryota; Metazoa; Mollusca; Cephalopoda; Octopoda; Octopodidae.